UUAAACUAAAGAGUUUGAUCCUGGCUCAGAUUGAACGCUGGCGGCAUGCCUUACACAUGCAAGUCGAACGGCAGCACGGAGCUUGCUCUGGUGGCGAGUGGCGAACGGGUGAGUAAUAUAUCGGAACGUACCCAGGAGUGGGGGAUAACGUAGCGAAAGUUACGCUAAUACCGCAUACGUCCUAAGGGAGAAAGUGGGGGAUCGCAAGACCUCAUGCUCAUGGAGCGGCCGAUAUCUGAUUAGCUAGUUGGUAGGGUAAAAGCCUACCAAGGCAACGAUCAGUAGCUGGUCUGAGAGGACGACCAGCCACACUGG
This 315-nucleotide ribosomal RNA is filed under the name Duganella sp. CF402. RNAcentral's name for it is "bacterial SSU rRNA". It matches the Rfam family "Bacterial small subunit ribosomal RNA", at positions 1 to 316 of the family's 1533-position model. Lineage: Bacteria; Pseudomonadati; Pseudomonadota; Betaproteobacteria; Burkholderiales; Oxalobacteraceae. The record is from RNAcentral.